This 401-nucleotide ribosomal RNA is filed under the name uncultured Clostridium sp. Its description in RNAcentral is "bacterial SSU rRNA". It matches the Rfam family "Bacterial small subunit ribosomal RNA", at positions 356 to 774 of the family's 1533-position model. The record is from RNAcentral. Lineage: Bacteria; Bacillati; Bacillota; Clostridia; Eubacteriales; Clostridiaceae.
GGGGAAUAUUGCGCAAUGGGGGAAACCCUGACGCAGCAACGCCGCGUGGGUGAUGAAGGUUUUCGGAUCGUAAAACCCUGUUUUCUGGGACGAUAAUGACGGUACCAGAUGAGGAAGCCACGGCUAACUACGUGCCAGCAGCCGCGGUAAUACGUAGGUGGCAAGCGUUGUCCGGAUUUACUGGGCGUAAAGGGUGCGUAGGCGGAUGCUUAAGUGAGAUGUGAAAUACCUAGGCUUAACUUAGGGGCUGCAUUUCAAACUGGGCAUCUAGAGUACAGGAGAGGGAAACGGAAUUCCUAGUGUAGCGGUGAAAUGCGUAGAGAUUAGGAAGAACACCAGUGGCGAAGGCGGUUUCCUGGACUGUAACUGACGCUGAGGCACGAAAGCGUGGGUAGCAAACA